RNAcentral lists this long non-coding RNA (829 nucleotides) under Olea europaea subsp. europaea. The record is from RNAcentral. Lineage: Eukaryota; Viridiplantae; Streptophyta; Magnoliopsida; Lamiales; Oleaceae.
AUAUGGUAAGAGAAGUGAUUUGUUGUGAAUGUGUGUAUAUAAUAGUUCAAGUCAUACACUCUCAUAAUCCAUUUUCUCUUUGGUUAAUUCCCUUCAACUCUACAUUUAUUUGACAUGAUUGGUUGAAAGGAAAUAUUUAUAUACAUGGAUUAUUAUUUUCAAUAGUCCAUACUUGCAAUAAAAUUUUAUUAUUCCUCUUUUGAGUGAUAAAUGAUUGAUUACGAAUAUAUAUUAUAUAUCUUUUUUUUAUAAAGGACUAGAAAUACCUUGUUUUUGUAUCAUUGAAAAUUGUAUUAACAUAAAUAUAGUAGUAAAAAAUCGCAAUGCAAUAGUGUGUAAACUAUUAGAACGAGUCAAAGUGGAUUGUCUUGCACUAACACUUUCAUGCAAUAAUUCUACUAAAGGUAAUCCUAUUGCAGGAAUAGUUUUGGGUAUACAUAUUACAAUUUUCAUUGGCCAAUAACCAAUUUGGUUGCGAGGUAAUGAAUAACCAGUUACGCCAUAAGAUACGAUCAACAUUCAUAGAACCACACUUAUAACCAAGUCAAUUUAUGAGGUUAUUUAAUCCCAUUGGUCAGAUACACAAGAAAAAUACGCAGGAUCAUCAUUAGGAUUAUCAUUCUUGUGGACCAUCAAUGAAUUGAUAGGAUUAACCAAUCAAAGUUAGUUUUCGUAAUUAUGUAUUGAAGAGAGGCGAAAGCUUCCAUAACAAUCGAACGAGUAAAAACCCAUAGCAAAGCUCGUAGCUAUCAGUACUAAAAAAAGAAGUAAACUUAAUUCCCCCUAAACGAUAAAAUAUAUUCACAUAGGGAGAUGGAUAUAAAUUUUA